CCACAAAAGAAGUGGAAAACGAAUAGUGUACAGCUUCUGAGAACGCAAGCAACAGCUGAUCAUCGUGGCUCACUGUAACAGCGCACUUCAAAUAAGGAACAUACAAGACUCGCG
This is a non-coding RNA of Caenorhabditis elegans, 114 nucleotides long. The record is from Ensembl. Lineage: Eukaryota; Metazoa; Nematoda; Chromadorea; Rhabditida; Rhabditidae.